This 501-nucleotide ribosomal RNA is filed under the name uncultured Oscillibacter sp. RNAcentral describes it as "partial 16S ribosomal RNA". The record is from RNAcentral. Lineage: Bacteria; Bacillati; Bacillota; Clostridia; Eubacteriales; Oscillospiraceae.
CACGUAGUUAGCCGUGGCUUAUUCAAGGGGUACCGUCUUCUGCUCUUCCCCCUUAAAAGAAGUUUACAACCCGAAAGCCUUCUUCCUUCGCGCGGCGUUGCUGGGUCAGACUUGCGUCCAUUGCCCAGUAUUCCCCACUGCUGCCUCCCGUAGGAGUCUGGGCCGUAUCUCAGUCCCAAUGUGGCCGGCCAACCUCUCAGUCCGGCUACUGAUCGUCGCCUUGGUGAGCCGUUACCUCACCAACUAGCUAAUCAGACGCGAGGCCAUCUUUCGGCGAUAAAAUCUUUGACAUGUCUGCGAUGCCACAGUCAUGUGUCAUGCGGUAUUAGCAGUCGUUUCCAACUGUUGUCCCCCUCGAAAGGCAGGUUCCUCACGCGUUACUCACCAGUCCGCCACUAAGCGUUCCCUUCCAUUGUCCGAAAACUCUUUCAGGGGCGCUCCGUUCGACUUGCAUGUGUUAAGCACGCCGCCAGCGUUCGUCCUGAGCCAGGAUCAAACUCU